RNAcentral lists this transfer RNA (71 nucleotides) under Loxodonta africana (African savanna elephant). It matches the Rfam family "tRNA". From Rfam's summary of the family: Transfer RNA (tRNA) molecules are approximately 80 nucleotides in length. Lineage: Eukaryota; Metazoa; Chordata; Mammalia; Proboscidea; Elephantidae. The record is from Rfam by way of RNAcentral.
GCAGUGGUAGUUCAGUGGUAGAAUCCUUGCUCUCUAUGCAAGAGACUGCGGUUUGAUUUCCAGCCAACGCA